Long non-coding RNA from Salvia splendens (bonfire salvia), 1040 nucleotides. RefSeq lists it as uncharacterized. Lineage: Eukaryota; Viridiplantae; Streptophyta; Magnoliopsida; Lamiales; Lamiaceae. The record is from RefSeq and is a predicted model, not a curated record. The transcript is spliced from 4 exons.
GCCAUAGUUUAUUUUCCAUUGCAUCAAGAAAUAAAAUUCCCUUCCAAAAUUAGCCCUCUUUGACUUAAAUUUCAUGCUCAAACUCUCUUCUUCCAUCUUCUUUCUCUUUUUCUCCUUUGCCCUAUUUGGAAGAUUUACACACAAUCGAAUGUUUUCUUCUUCGUUGAAGAACUCUAUUUCGGUCCAUUGGUGAAAUUAUAGACACUGCAGAUUUUUCGUAGAAGCUGAAGCUACAAUCGAGGAGGAGACAUGCACUCGUGUGAAUAGGGACGACAUCUAUAAUCGGUUGCAAUUCCUGGAGCGUCGCUACCAAACCUUCAAAUCAUUGGUUGAGCAUCCGAAUACACGAUUCGAGCCCUCGUCGAACAAGGUUUUUGCUUCUGAAAAAACUUGGACGGCCAUCCUUAAGAAAAAUGACUUUGCUGGAGCAUAUACAAAGAAUGGAGAACUAGAGUUGAAGCUGCUCAAGAUGUUGUUUAGUGGUGAGUUCAAUGUGAGCGAGAACGAUAUAGAAACUAUUGUGCUCUCGGACAACACCAUUGAUCUCAAUCCGGAUGUUGAUGAGGGCCAAUGUGAAGAUUAUGUAAGUGGAUAUAACCAUGAUAGCCAUCUACUGCCACGCAAUCUGUUCAAUGAGAGUUCACACUCCCGAGACUGUGAGUCAUCAAAUUCCAUGGAGAUUCGUGAUAGGGAGCUUGGACAACGACCUGAAAAUUUCAUCUACCACGGCUUUGACAACGCCCCAACAAGGACGGUUGACUCCUCAAACAGUAGCUCUUGUGCAUCGUCAAAGCCAACUUUAUGGUGGCGCCGACCAUAAUCGUGACUCUUAUCUACUAUGCUGUAAACUUAGGAUUGCCACUUGGAAAAUAAGUCGUAUCUUGCGACAAGGUUGUUGUCGUCUUAUGCAUAUUAUGAGUGUGUGGUUUUAAAAAUAUGUAAUCUCAUGUGUAGUCCUUAGAAUUAUUUCGAUUCCAAAAGUUGCUCUAUGCGACAUGUUAUGUAACUUUGUUUGUGAAAUAAACAUGAGUUUCAGAAAA